GCUGUUGUGGCUCAGUUGGUAGAGCAGCGCACUCGUAAUGCGCAGGCCACGAGUUCGAACCUCGUCAACAGCUCCA
This 76-nucleotide transfer RNA is filed under the name Clostridia bacterium. RNAcentral's name for it is "tRNA-Thr". It matches the Rfam family "tRNA". From Rfam's summary of the family: Transfer RNA (tRNA) molecules are approximately 80 nucleotides in length. Their secondary structure includes four short double-helical elements and three loops (D, anti-codon, and T loops). Lineage: Bacteria; Bacillati; Bacillota; Clostridia. The record is from RNAcentral.